This 1512-nucleotide ribosomal RNA is filed under the name Chenopodium quinoa (quinoa). RNAcentral describes it as "bacterial SSU rRNA". It matches the Rfam family "Bacterial small subunit ribosomal RNA". Lineage: Eukaryota; Viridiplantae; Streptophyta; Magnoliopsida; Caryophyllales; Amaranthaceae. The record is from RNAcentral.
AGAGUUCGAUCCUGGCUCGGAAUGAACGCUGGCGGCAAUGCUUAACACAUGCAAGCCGGACGGGAAGUGGUGUUUCAGUGGAGGACGGGUGAGGUAACGCGUAAGGCACCUGCCCUUGGAGAGGAACAAAGUUGGAAACGGCUGGCUUAUAUCCCCGUAAGGCUGAGAAGCAAAAGGAGGAAUCCGCUCGACGGAGGGGGUCGCGUCUGAUUAGCUAGUUGGUGAGGCAAUCAAGCUUAGCCAAGGCGAUGAUCAGUCCAGCUGGUCCGAAAGAAUGAUCAGCCACAUGGGACUGAGACACGGCCCAGACUCCUACGGGGGGCAGUAGUGGGGAAAUUUUCCGCAGUGGGCGAAAUUCUCUGAUGGAGCAUGCCGCGUGGAGCGUAGAAUGCCCACGGGUCAAUGAACUUCUUUUCCUGGAGAAGAAGAAUGAACGGUAUCGCGGGGAAUAAGCAGCGGCUUAACUCUGUGCCCAGCAGCCGCGGUAAAGAACACAGGAUGGCAACCCGUUAUCCCGGAAUAUUGGGCGUAAACGUCUGUAGGUGGCUUUUUUAAGUCCGCGUCAAAUCCCAGGGCUCACCCCUGGAACAGGCGGUGGAAGACUACCUAGCUAAGAGUACGGAGGGGUAAGGAAUUUCCGGUGGACGUGGUGAAAUGCUAGAGAUCGAAAGAACACCAACGGCGAAAGCACUUCUGUUGGGCCGACACUGACACUGAGAGAUCAGAAAGUUAGGGGAGCGAAUGGGAUUAGAUACCCCAUUAGUCUUGGCCAGUUAACGAGGAUACUAAAGCACUGUGCGUAAUCGAACCCGUGCAAGUGUUGUAGCUAACGCGUAAGUACCCGCCGGGAAGUACGUUCGGCAAGAAUGAAACUCAAAGGAAAUAACAGGGGCCCGCACAAGCGGUGGAGCAUGUGGUUCUAAUCGAUGCAAAAGCGAAGAACCUUCCAGGUCUGACAUGCCGGAAUACCUCCUUGAAAGAGAGGGGUGCCUUCGGCACGCGGAUACAGGUGGUGCAUGGCUGUCGUUAGCUCGUGCCGUAGGUGUUGGGUUAAGUCCCGCAAUGAGCGCAACCCUCGUGUUUAGUUGCCAAACGUUGAGUUUGGAACCCUGAACAGACUGCGGUUGAUUAAGCCGGAGGAAGGUGAGGAUGGAAGUCAAGUCAUCAAUGCCCCUUAUCCCCUGGCGACACACGUGCACAAUGCGGGACAAAGGGCUGCGAUCCGCGAGGGUGAGCUAUACCCCAAAAAAACCCGUCCCUCGUUCGGAUUGCAGCUGCAAACUCGUUCCUGCAAUGAAAGCCGGAAUCGCUAGAAAUCUGCUCGGUCAGUCCAAUACGGCGGUGAAAUCGUUCCCUUUCGGGCCUGUACAACACCGCGCGUUCACACACUAGGGAGCUGGCCAUGCCGAAGUCGUUACCUUAAACCGCAAGAGUGGGAAAUGCCGAAGGCGGGGGCUAGUGGAACUGUAGUGAAGGUCGUAAUCAAGGUAGCCGACUAGAAGGGUGCGGCUU